RNAcentral lists this ribosomal RNA (248 nucleotides) under uncultured bacterium. RNAcentral describes it as "partial 16S ribosomal RNA". It matches the Rfam family "Bacterial small subunit ribosomal RNA", at positions 529 to 776 of the family's 1533-position model. The record is from RNAcentral.
AGGGGGCAAGCGUUGUCCGGAAUUAUUGGGCGUAAAGAGCGUGUAGGCGGUCCGGUAAGUCGGCGGUGAAAGUCCAGGGCUCAACCCUGGGAUGCCGGUCGAUACUGCCGGACUAGAGUUCGGAAGAGGCGAGUGGAAUUCCCGGUGUAGCGGUGAAAUGCGCAGAUAUCGGGAGGAACACCUAUGGCGAAGGCAGCUCGCUGGGACGUUACUGACGCUGAGACGCGAAAGCGUGGGGAGCAAACAGG